Molecule: long non-coding RNA, 3365 nt
Filed under: Cricetulus griseus (Chinese hamster)
Lineage: Eukaryota; Metazoa; Chordata; Mammalia; Rodentia; Cricetidae
Description: lncRNA (ENSCGRG00000025418.1)
Source: RNAcentral
AGAACAAGAGUUGAAGCAUGAGCUCAGACACCAGCCAAGCUGUGGUCACUACUCCUCCCCUUCCCAGCAUGCCACACAAAGAGAGAUACUUUGACCGAAUCAAUGAAAGUGAUCCAGAAUAUCUUCGAGAAAGGAAUAUGUCUCCUGAUUUACGACAAGACUUCAAUAUGAUGGAGCAGAGGAAGCGAGUUACUCAGAUCCUGCAGAGCCCUGCCUUUCGGGAAGACCUGGAAUGCCUCAUUCAAGAACAGAUGAAGAAAGGCCACAACCCAACUGGUUUACUAGCCUUACAACAGAUUGCAGAUUACAUCAUGGCCAACUCUUUCUCAGGCUUUUCUUCACCUCCCCUGAGUAUGUCAAUUGUGAUUUUGUUUUCUCUGCAGUGGAACACUACUUCUCUGGCUAGUUACUCUGAUCAGAGUCAGCCCUAAAGUGUAUGACAUAGAGCUGGGUCUGGUGGCAUAAGCCUACAGUACCAACUGCUCAGCAGCAGAAGCAAAGGGUCAUAAUAUCAAGGCCAGCCUGGGCAAAUUAAUGAAGACCCUCAAAAUAAAAAAGAGAUCUGAGGAUGAGGUUCAGUGGUCGUUACUAUGCACAAGGCCAUAGGUUCAAGCCCCAGUACUUUUUAAAAGCAACAUCUGACAUUUAGAAUAGCAUAUUAUAAGACAUAGUCCUAACCGAGAUAGUUGUAUUUGAAUUAACCCUGGAGACCACUCUAGUGGUUAUUUUUCCUUUAUUUUGGCUCACAAUUUCAGAGCGGUUUCAAUACAUCAUGGCAGGAAAGGCAAAACAACUCCAACUCUGGCUGUGAGAUGGGAGCCUGAAGAAGAGCAGCUGCUCACAACACAGGAAGCAGUGAGAAGAGUGAGCCUGUCCCUGGUAGUCUGCUUCUCACCAGCCAGCCCCUUCCAUAGGCCGGACAGCCUUCACAAUAGGGCACAGACUGGGGACCAAGUAUUCACCACAUAAUCCUGUAGUGGACAUUUCAGAUUCAAACCCUAACAGUAACUGUAGAAGAGAAAGUUAAAAAGCUGUUCGUUCACAAGAAGUGAUCUGUAACCCUUUACUGUGUCCUCAUGCUGUGAGCUGAGAGUUGGAGUUUAUUGCCUGAAGGAGACUGAAUAAAAACUUGAUGAGAGAAGAGGGCAGGCUGGCUGGUAGGAUCUGGAAAGAUGUUGGUGUAAAGGAGUGGAUGUUGUAUUCACUGCAUAGCUCCUUAGAGAGCAGCAUUUGUGAGGCUGAACUCCCUAGAGGACUAAGACCCCUUGGCCAGAAGCUCUGCUCUGAUUGUGGUCAGAGUCUCUGCAGUGAAGGGCACAUGUGGGGGCCACAGAGAGCUAGCAGACAUUGUUUCAUGGGAGACUCAAGAGAAAGGAGCUUUAUUUGCUCCUCCUUUUAUCUGUCCCCUCUUUCUCUUCCUUUUGUCAGUAGAGGUUUCUAAGUAAGAUUUUAUUGAAUUCAGGUCUUUUCCAAACCCCUGAGAUAUGAUGGUAGGAGAGUGCAAGGUGGGAGGGAGUGUUUGUCGUGCUCCAUUGCCUGGGCCUGAGGGUCCUGGGCUGGCUAGCAGUCUAGGGGAAGGAAAUGAAUCAGACUGAAAAGACUCUUCACGGCUGGACCAGGACAGCUGCCAGCAUGGACAGUAAAAACCCUUGUGAAGGAAAUUAGCUGAUGAUCUGAAUGAGGGCCAGGAAAGGAAAGAAGCUCAAGUCAGAUCAUUUAAAGACCGCAAGCAAGUGUAUGAGAGAUGUAAGUACCUGGAUUAGUUCUGUGGAGCUGGUAUAUAAAGGAGGAAAACAAGGAGAACCAAAGGGAGCUUCGUAGCGGUCCUGGUGUGCUGGGGAGGGGCGAAUGUCAAAGAGUCACCUAGUGGCUGGGUUCUAGCUUCUGAGAAACAGUCUACCAGCAGAAACAAAAAUUCAAAGCUUGAGCUAUUUUUAGCACUCUGUAACAGUGGGCAUUUGGACCAAGUUCUGUUUCAGGGACAAGGACUGCACUAAGAUUCUUUUUCUCUUGGAGCUUGAAACUACACUAAAUAAAGAAGCUGAGAAGACGAGGAAUGCCAUGCUGAAAAUCACAGUGUGGUUAUGUGCUGCAUGUCUGGGCAGCACAGAGAUAUAAGGUCAUCAAAGACGGCCUCUGAAGAGAGCACAUCUCAACUGAGGCUUGAGAGUAAGGCGUAUGGUGUGUCUUAAGAUGGAAAGAAAACAUCCAUGUCCCAGAACCUGGUAAAGGUGCCAAGUGGGGAAGAAACUGGGGAAGGAGUAGAAGUAAAAAAUAGUACUCUGCUUGCUCUCUAAGGGGACAAAUAGAACAAAAUUAGAUGAUAGCACAGGCAGUGUUAUUGAAAUGUGAUGGUAAUAUGGCUGGAUGUCAGUUGCCGCCAACGGGUUUGGAAGUUUGAAUCUUGUUCCUGUUGUGGGGAGACAUUUUUAAACUGGAGGGUAAUUUCUAAAGCCCCACGAGAUUUUCUGUGCAAGAUGGCCAUGGAGAUUUCAUAGGAUUAAUAAGAAAAGUGGGAAGGGCAUAGUGUAGGAUCCAGUCUGGCAUGUUUGCUUUAGAUUGCUGACAUGCGCCAAUUGAGUGUUGGCAUUAAAUGCACGUGCAGCCACAUCCAGCUAAAACAAUUGAAUCUUUAAUAAAAUUUUAUCGUCACCUUUACUUUGUUCUUUGCUCUCUCCACUUCCCAAGUAAAUGUGCAUUUUUCACACCACCACAAGAAACCUUCCAGACUGGUCCAUUUCCCCUUCCUGACUUAUAAACACCACUGGGGUAUGGCUUUCCUGCAGCCAUGCUUUGACAUCUGCAACCCCAAAUGCCUGCUUCUCUGUAUCCCUCUGCCAAGAUGUUUAAGUAUGUUAGCUGGGUGUGGUGAGACACGCCUUUAAUCCCAGCACUCAGGAGGCAGAGGCAGGCGGAUCUCUGUGAGUUUGAAGUCAGCCUGGUCCACAUCUGGAGUUCCAGGACAGCCAAGGCUAUAUAGUAAGACCCUGUCUAAGAAAAAGAAGAUAAACAAUAAAAAGGAGUAAAGAUUGCUAAGAAUUGAGCUUGUAGAAAUUGUAAUGUUGUCAACAUUACAGACAUAAAGAGAAGGAAGGAAGAAAAGUAAGAGAAAGUAAAAUCACUUUUGGACUUUAGGUUUUGUAUGUUACUCUAUCACAGGAGGAGGUACGUGGUUAGAGAUGAAGAUGACCUCACAAAAUAAUAUAUUGUGCAGAGUAUAAGAUGUUUUCAUGGAGAAAAGUAAAGUAAGGCAGGAGCAUAACAGAAGCCUGAGCUCCAGGAACGAACCAGGUUGGAGGAAAGUGGGAGAGGAGAACUUAGAAGAAAGAGGAAAGGGAGCCAGGAGUCAGCACAGAAUCCUGGGC